This 151-nucleotide long non-coding RNA is filed under the name Monodelphis domestica (gray short-tailed opossum). RNAcentral describes it as "lncRNA (ENSMODG00000050345.1)". Lineage: Eukaryota; Metazoa; Chordata; Mammalia; Didelphimorphia; Didelphidae. The record is from RNAcentral.
UACCAGCUGGUUUUUGAUCCUGAAGAAAUUGGGUCUGCUAUCAGCAGCCUGGGGUGAUGGGCGGUCUGCUCCGAGGCUACAGUUUGCUGGGGUUCAGCUGGGCCAGAGACAUGUUAGGAUAACUGGUAAUGACCAAGGAUGCAAUCGAUGA